ACGAACGCUGGCGGCAGGCCUAACACAUGCAAGUCGAGCGCGCCUUUCGGGGCGAGCGGCGGACGGGUGAGUAACGCGUGGGAAUAUGCCCUUCUCUACGGAAUAGUCCCGGGAAACUGGGGGUAAUACCGUAUACGCCCUUUGGGGGAAAGAUUUAUCGGGGAAGGAUUAGCCCGCGUUGGAUUAGGUAGUUGGUGGGGUAAUGGCCCACCAAGCCGACGAUCCAUAGCUGGUUUGAGAGGAUGAUCAGCCACACUGGGACUGAGACACGGCCCAGACUCCUACGGGAGGCAGCAGUGGGGAAUCUUAGACAAUGGGGGCAACCCUGAUCUAGCCAUGCCGCGUGAGUGAUGAAGGCCUUAGGGUUGUAAAGCUCUUUCAGCUGGGAAGAUAAUGACGGUACCAGCAGAAGAAGUCCCGGCUAACUCCGU
This 431-nucleotide ribosomal RNA is filed under the name uncultured bacterium. Its description in RNAcentral is "bacterial SSU rRNA". It matches the Rfam family "Bacterial small subunit ribosomal RNA", at positions 29 to 506 of the family's 1533-position model. The record is from RNAcentral.